CGAUGGGCCGACGUCGCAUGCUCCGGCCGCCAUGGCGGCCGCGGGAAUCGAUUAGAGUUUAAUCCUGGCUCAGAGUGAACGCUGGCGGCAGGCCUAACACAUGCAAGUCGAACGGCAGCACAGCAGUAGCAAUACUGUGGGUGGCGAGUGGCGGACGGGUGAGGAAUACAUCGGGAUCUACCUUUUCGUGGGGGAUAACGUAGGGAAACUUACGCUAAUACCGCAUACGCCCUACGGGGGAAAGCGGCGGACCGCAAGGCGUCGCGCGAUGAGAUGAACCGAUGUCCGAUUAGCUAGUUGGCGGGGUAAAGGCCCACCAAGGCGACGAUCGGUAGCUGAUCUGAGAGGAUGAUCAGCCACACUGGAACUGAGACACGGUCCAGACUCCUACGGGAGGCAGCAGUGGGGAAUAUUGGACAAUGGGCGCAAGCCUGAUCCAGCCAUGCCGCGUGGGUGAAGAAGGCCUUCGGGUUGUAAAGCCCUUUUGUCCGGAAAGAAAAGCACGUAAUUAAUACCUAUGUGUGAUGACGGUACCGGAAGAAUAAGCACCGGCUAACUUCGUGCCAGCAGCCGCGGUAAUACGAAGGGUGCAAGCGUUACUCGGAAUUACUGGGCGUAAAGCGUGCGUAGGUGGUUUGUUAAGUCUGUCGUGAAAUCCCCGGGCUCAACCUGGGAAUGGCGAUUGAUACUGGCAAGCUAGAGUGAGGUAGAGGAGAGUGGAAUUCCCGGUGUAGCAGUGAAAUGCGUAGAGAUCGGGAGGAACAUCAGUUGCAAAAGCGGC
This 781-nucleotide ribosomal RNA is filed under the name uncultured Lysobacter sp. Its description in RNAcentral is "bacterial SSU rRNA". It matches the Rfam family "Bacterial small subunit ribosomal RNA", at positions 1 to 725 of the family's 1533-position model. The record is from RNAcentral. Lineage: Bacteria; Pseudomonadati; Pseudomonadota; Gammaproteobacteria; Lysobacterales; Lysobacteraceae.